Molecule: non-coding RNA, 21 nt
Filed under: Caenorhabditis elegans
Lineage: Eukaryota; Metazoa; Nematoda; Chromadorea; Rhabditida; Rhabditidae
Source: RNAcentral
UAUGUAUAAUAAGUAGUCUUA